This 1132-nucleotide long non-coding RNA is filed under the name Nicotiana tabacum (common tobacco). RNAcentral's name for it is "long non-coding RNA (NTAB_LNC014343)". Lineage: Eukaryota; Viridiplantae; Streptophyta; Magnoliopsida; Solanales; Solanaceae. The record is from RNAcentral.
AAAAAUAGACCCUAGGCAUCAUCUUCUAAACACCCUAAGACCUAGGAGCAGCUCUAGAUCUCUCACGAAAAAACAAAAUCAGCCGCAGGACCUCUUUAUUCUUCACCUUCUUCUCCAUCAGUACCAAACAAACACACACACGCAAGAGACCAUCUCUAGCCGUCACCUCUCAACCCCAUUCCAACCUCCAUAGGCCGCUCAAGAGCCGGAAACCCGUCGGAAAAUGACGCCCACCACCUCUGAACCCUAGUCUUGAGUCCCAGCAGCCGCUUAAACUAGUCAUCUCUCCCCAAACAUCCAAUCUCCUUCUUCCUCACCUCACAGCAGUUACCCGCCACCCCCCUUUCCUCAAAUCUUCACGAAAAAAGGGGUUUUGAGAGGCGAAAAUUCGAAGAGGAGGGAGAAGGAGAAAGGUUUCAAGUGGGAUCGUCGCUCGAGGUUCAGGUUCAAAGUUCUUUGUCCAGCUUUCACCGAAUCUCUAGAAGUUCGUUCAUCUUGUCGCUGCUUGUGUCUUGUUCGAGUUCGAAAUUUCGUCGUUUGGCACUAUAUUAUGACUGUGUAAUUGCUGAAAAUUUCAGCUAAUUGAAGCUUUAAUUUCAGGUCUGUUUUUCUUUCUUCCUUUUUACUUGUUUUGAUAUUGAAGUUCAAUGUGACUGAAUGCCCCGUUUGCUAGGUGAAAAAUGCUCUGAAUUGCUGAUUCGUUUGCUCGGCCAGUGGAUUAUUAGUUUUGGUUUGUCUAUGCUUUAUUGCCAUUAAUCUCGAUUAGCUUCGUUUGAACUGAUGGCUGAAUAGUUAACGUUUCGUUGAGGCCUAGCGGAUUCUCCUUUGGACUUAAAUCAACUUGAGUUCCUUGUACCUUGAGAUUGAAUUGACACUUCAUUUUUCCCGGAUAAACGAUCCGAAAGUGAAACUCGCUGUUUUGUUUAAUGUCUCUAAAUGCUAUUCUCCUCAUAUGUUAAUUGAGCUACCAGAUUAUCUUGUCGUCUCGUUAGAGAUAGUUUGGGACAUAAUCGCAUGUUGAAAUCAGAAAAAAUCAAUUUUCUCAUGAGAUAAGUUGCUUGUUCUUGUUUGCAGACCCGUUCUCUGUGCCGAUGUAUAGUGAAGCACGCUUUCUGAAUGUGGCCUAAGCUAG